AAGGUAGCAUAAUCAUUUGCCCUUUAAUUGUGGGCUGGAAUGAAUGGAUACACGAGAGAAUAGCUGUCUCUUUGUUAGAACUAAAAAUUAGCUUUUAGGUGAAGAGACCUGACUAUAAAUAAAGGACAAGAAGACCCUGUUGAGCUUUAUUUAGCAUAGGUCAUGUAUAGUUUGGCUUUUUAUAAAUUUGGUUGGGGCGACUGGGGAGUUCCUUUACUUCCUUUAUUUCUGGGCUAACAUGCCUUUAGAGAUCCAAAAACUGAUUUAAGGAAGAAGCUACCACAGGGAUAACAGGCUAAUUCUUCUAGAGAGUUCAUAUUGACAGGAGAGGUUGGCACCUCGAUGUUGGCUUAGGGUUUCCUAUCAGUGUAGCAGCUGAUAAAGGUGGGUUUGUUCAACCUUUAAUACCCUACGUGAUCUGAGUUCAGACCGGA
This 434-nucleotide ribosomal RNA is filed under the name Ammotrypanella keenani. RNAcentral's name for it is "partial 16S ribosomal RNA". It matches the Rfam family "Bacterial large subunit ribosomal RNA", at positions 1953 to 2620 of the family's 2925-position model. The record is from RNAcentral. Lineage: Eukaryota; Metazoa; Annelida; Polychaeta; Opheliidae.